UACGAAGGGGGCUAGCGUUGUUCGGAUUUACUGGGCGUAAAGCGCACGUAGGCGGAUCGUUAAGUCGGGGGUGAAAUCCUGGAGCUCAACUCCAGAACUGCCUUCGAUACUGGCGAUCUUGAGUCCGGAAGAGGUGAGUGGAACUCCUAGUGUAGAGGUGGAAUUCGUAGAUAUUAAGAAGAACACCAAUAACAAAAACAACUCACUAAUCCAAUACUAACACUAAAAUACGAAAGCAUAAAAAGCAAACAGG
This 253-nucleotide ribosomal RNA is filed under the name uncultured bacterium. RNAcentral describes it as "partial 16S ribosomal RNA". It matches the Rfam family "Bacterial small subunit ribosomal RNA", at positions 524 to 776 of the family's 1533-position model. The record is from RNAcentral.